AGUCUUGUUAUCAUUUAACCUUUCCAGUGGAAAAAGCAGAUGUGGUCCCUGCCCAAGGAUCUUACAGGUGAAAUUUUGGUAGAUAUUAAUACCUCCACUCCCUUCUGCCAAAAAAAAAAAAAGAUGCUUGCCUGUGCUGACAAAGAAGUCCCCCGUUGUAGCGUGAGUGGCUGUGGAGUUCUCAUUCAGUCCGUACGUAAUAGUGAGAGGUCCGAGUGCAACAGGGAGAGGACAGAGCUUGCAGCUGAGAUGGCUGGAGGUGGCAGGUAGCAAGUAAGGCAGUAUUGCAGCACACAAGAGCUUUACCUAGGUGGGCCUGGCAAAGAGGGAAGAAGAUUUUGUCCAGCAGAACUAGAAAGGGAGAGUAUUCAGAGGGCUACCGGCAUUUCCAGGUUCAUACAAAAUGUUGAGAGAAAUUGUUGCUCAAAUUUUUUUUGGCUGGAAAGGCCAGGUGAGCUGGUUGCUGGCUGCUCAUGGAGGUGUCCGAGUGGCGUUGGGUGCUGGAAGUGGAGUCCUAAAGAUCUUGGCUGAGGGCGCAUCUCCAGGUGUAUCGAGGACCCAGCUAUGCGAGUACUGAGGUAGGUGAAGUUACAGGAAACUUCCUUUGGGCACGGAAGAGACCCACAGUUGGCAAAGGAAAGAGGAUGGAUGGAGCAAUGCCGGAUAACCGUAUUUCUUAAGGUGUUCCACUUAAACAAUUUGGGUCAUGGUUUUCAACAGUGCUUAUUGAAUUUCCAUGGGCUUUCCACUCCCCAGAGGUGCUUUCAGCCUCCCCACUAUGAGAGAAGACUCAACAUUUGUCACCUCUCUUGAAUCCAACGAUUUCUGACAGUAAAUAGGCAGGUAAAACACUGCGCCUGCUCAGCUGUGGCCAGGCCUGACUCCAGACUCCCACAUUUUGAAAACACCAAGGUGGCCAUUUAUCUCGGUGCAUCUCAUCAUCCGAUGCAUCUGUGCAGAGGUGGACGGCACCUCCCUCACUACCCUGCUGUUGUCUCCUUUUAAAAGUGUGUAACAGUACAGCCUGGUUCGCAUUUGGCCCCUCGCCAUUUCAGAUAUACUUGUCAAACGGCUCUCAUUUCUGAUUAGCUCCUUCUAAUUUUAUGCUGUAUACCUUCCACAAUGCACCUGUCCCUUCAAAACUGAAUUACAGCCAUGGAAAUGAGUUCUGCCAUUAAAGCAUACAUUGAAAACCAAGGAUUUUCAGCACAGAUAAUAUCGUUCUUGACUAAGUAAUCGAAAAGCUCCAAAUGCGUGUGAAAUAAAUGAAGGGUCAAACAGUGGCUGACUGCAUAGGCUGAAGAGACUGGUGUUUAGCCUUGAAACGUGCGUCUUAUUUACAACCUGGGCUGCUGGUGUAGGAACUGUUUAUCCCAUCUCACUCAGAUGCACAAAAGAUGUCGGCACCACCAGUGCCCUGCAUUCCCAAGGGGUGUUUGCAUGCAGCACUGUGCCCCUAACCUUAAGGCACAGACCUCCUUAGCCCCAUGAACCUUCAGCAGUAGGGUUAAAUAAGGUUACCACAUUGUGCCUGUUGACAUUGCAGUCCCCUGUGGCAAAGGAAACUUCUUGCUCAGAGAUGCAGUGAUAAAAUCUGGUAAUCCCAAUGCGCCUGCUGCUUUUGACCCCAUGAGGAGCCUGGCAGAUCCUAAAGCUGUGCUGCUGCUGCCAUUCCAAGUGCCCCCUCUGCAGAGUCUUCUGGCCCCGUUUCUUGCUGCAGUUUAGUGUGAGGUUUGCUUUCAGCCUUAAGGAAUUUAAGGAAUCCCUCUGGAUGGGGGGGGGGAGGUUGUCUUCCCUCUUGGCAAACCUGCCUGCUGAGUCGGUUGGUUAUUUUAGGGAAUCGAAAUGGCUGUAACUGCCAUGGGGCUUUGUCCACAAAUGGCUCUUUUUCCCUUGCUCUUGCAGGCAUCUGCUUUAUGGUUGACUUUGCUAGCAGUGGAUUUUUCCUUUAUGUGUUGGUUUCUGUCUUUGGGUUAUACUGUUCUGUGGAUCCCCACCCUUUAAAUCGUUUCUAAAGCAGCUCUCUGCAGAGUCGGAUACAGUCUUGUAGAAUAAGGCCACAGACAGAAAGAACCACAGCUCCUAGAAGCCAAUGGAAGGGGUCCUGGGGGGCUUAGUACUGGUCUGGAUCAGCUCCUUUGUUUCAUUUAGAGUCUCUCCUCCCCUACACGUGACACCCAUUACUCUUUCAGGGAAGCCCUACAACAGCCUGAUAACACUAUGCAAUGGCUCCAUACCUUUACAGAGGCUGAAGAACCACUGCUGCCUCCUGCGAGGGGCUGGCUUUCAAGGAGUGCGCCGAGGGUUGGCUUAUAACAGUUAUUUCCUUCUUCUGUGCUGCCGAGAAGAGAAUCCCUUAGCAUAUUGCUGCCAGCCAUCCUUCGAGUCGGACAGCAAAUGUGACAAUCCUGGAUGCCAGCACUGGGAAAUAACUUUUGUGACCAGAGUGAUACUUGGGUGAAGCACUACACGUAUCUGUCACCUGUUGAUCCUGAUUCUGGAGCCAAAUGGCUCCUUUGCAUCUAUGGAAACUUCAGAGGUAAGGCUUAUUCUCAUGGGCCCAAAUCAACAGAAAGUGGAGGCUCCCCUAGACUGCUUUGCACUGAGAAUUAAGUCUUUAUUAAACAACUAGCAAGAAGUAUCUCUGUCUGCUUGCAAUCAGUAUUUCUCAAUGCAGCCAAGCAGCAGUUGUAAGGCAGCUUGCAUGCCACAAGUUACAAACCAGAUAGUGGAUAUCAUUGUUAGUGUAAGAAAGGGUUUGUGCCUUCACAUGAGUAGAGGAAGGGAUCUUGUGACAGCAGAUAAACUGGCACCUCUCUCAUGUGAUGACCAGUCACUGUCUCAGCUGAAAAAAAGGUUCACCACCCAAACACCCUAACUGUGAUGGCAGGUAACUUUUCACAGUGUUACCUUUCUCAGCAGUGGCACUCAGCAGCAUUAGUAGUGGUACCUAGUAGUAAUUACGUUAAUAGUAAUGGGUCAUACUUGGGAGUCAUUGCACUCAGCAUUUCUGUCUCAUAGAAAGUGAUGAUUUUUGAACAGCGUCCAAGUUAUUCCCAAGCAUCAGAGGAUUUUCUAGGCAUUAUUGGGGGGAAAAAGAAACCUUUUGAAAACUGGAAAACCUAAUAGAGGGGGGGGGGGGGGUAACUGAUAUAUAUGUACCCAGCCCCAGGCAUGAGUGAAGGAACUGAAGGGUUAUAAAAUGUCUCUGCAUUAAAAGCAAGUAGGAGGUCAGCGUGCAAAGGGAGUGGAGGAGGGACAAAAAAUCCAUGAGAUGUGCAGAGAGCUUGGCUGAUAGGACCAACACUGCCUGUGACCUCUGAGUUAUAGUAAGGCAGGUAAGGAUUUGGCCAUAUUGAUACUGUCUUUCUAUAAAUGAAAAAGAUAAAUCCUUCAUAUUGCACUGUUUGACCUCAGUUAACCCCCCAAAAAUAAAAAAUUCUGCAUCUAAACCACAGCAUUUGGGAGUGUGCAGAAGGGAUUCCUUCUGAGAGAAGGAACGGCUGUCUGCUAUCUGCAGAAUGCGUGAUACUCGCCUUCAACCCUGACCUCAUCCGUUUGUACCGUCUCCUCCAAAACAUCAUGGAGAGAAGCUUCUCUCACGUGGCGAAUAGGUGCACUCAGGCUUCUUGCUCGGGCCCUGGGCUUGAACCCCGGCAGUGCUGUAGGACGGUGGCGACCUGGGAGAGCAUUGCAGAUUGUGACCUAGCGAGAGUUGUCAGAGCAUCCGACUGCUUUACGAUGGCCGUGGCAUCUGUUUCUUUCUUGGCAGUUGCAGAGUUUACCUAGGCCAAGUGCGUGAUCUGUUGCAAGUGACAUCUUGCCUCAAGUCCUGUUACAAAUCCACAUUUCUGUGACAGUGUCCCCGGUGCCAACCACGACUUGUUUUGCCUCUGCUUACUUUUGAAGAGAGAAGUGCCAGGCACACAGAGGAUUUUCUCAGCCUUCCAGGAUUGGAUCCCUGGCUCUUGGCCUCCUGGUACCUGAUGAGGUGGCUUCUGGCAGUAUCAGCUCCUUGGCUUCGUUUCACUAAAAAAAAUAAAAUGUAGUCCUGGGAAGGAAAGAAAGCAAGAAGCGGGAUCUUUGCUCUGGGCUCCUUGUCGUCUUUGGGUGAACGAUCCGGUAUAUCAUCAUUAGUCUGGGAAUUUUUCCCAGUUAUUUGACAGAGUCCUGGCCCAAGGCCUGUGGAGGUUGUAACCUACAGAAGAGGUCUGGCGCAGGGGACUGGCAGUCUUUCGGGGCUCUUGUCAUUGCAGAGCCCCUAUUAGGAGCCAUGUGUAACACGGGCUCUGUCUAUGCAUCUGUAAAAUGGGUAUGAUUAAGGUGGGGGAUGCUAAUUGGAGCUCUGUGCUCAACUGUGAGCAUGUGGUGGGGAGAGGAAUGAGAAAAUUGACUUUUCCAAAGGGUACGCUAGUCUCGAUGGAUGCUCCUUACUUUAGGAUUCAUUCAAUUGUCCCUCGAGAGUUUCCUCAUCCCGGAAAUUUAGGCCAUUGCUGUUCAGUCCCCACUGGGACACCUCCACGGUGGGCUUGUUUUCACCCUCAGCUAGUUAUUUCUGUUCUGUGACCUGGGUGCAGCGAGGCAGGUGGUUGCAGUGUUGUUGUGCAGAGCAUCAUAGUUGGGAGUACAAUCUGUACAUAAGGAAGAGCAGCCAGGAUACAGUUAGAUAAAAGGAAACAGCUUGCCAGGAAGCAGAGGGCCAGAAGACUUUUCCAUGCGGCUUUUUGUUCUUGCCCAGUGCAGAAGAGGAGGAAUGCCCCCCAGGGGAUACCUGCCUGUAAUCGCACCCUGCAGAGCAGAGCAGCAGGUGAGGCAGAGGCAGGUGGGUGGGCAUGUUGAUUUGCAAACGCUGCUGCCUGGCAUCUGCUCGCCAGAACCCCUGACGCAAGUGCGGAGGAGUAAUAGGAUGGCACCCAAAAUCAAAAGGGCUUGACAGAUGGCUGCGCUGACAGGGCUUAUAGGUUGUCACUUUGUUUUCCCACCUCCUUAUCUAUCUCCUGAGAGAAAUUGUGUGCUGCCGGUGUGGUGUUUGCCUUGGACGGAGCAACAACACAGAAAGCAGCAAGGAACCUUUGCCAGUAAACAUCGAACAAGCCUACGUCAGUCCUUGUUCUCUGCCCCGAUUGCCCAAUAACAGGGAAGGCUGUCUUGCUUUUGUUUGUCAGAAAGCACUCCCAUAUGCCUCCCCCCCCUUCCCCAAACCCUUUCCCACUUGACUCCCAUCGGCUGUGGUGCUUGGAGCUACAGCCCUCCCCAGGCGAGUCUCUGCAAAGGAGAGUGAGUGCAUUAUCCAUGUUUAACAGCUGGGGAGGUGAAAGCACAGACAAAUGGAAGUGCUUGUCCACAGCUGCACAGCAGGUUAGUGUCCGAGCCAACUCUACAGCGCGGCAUUCUCGCUUGCCGGCCCGGUGAACUACACUGCCUUCCUGAAUCCAUUUCUGGCUUUCUGCAUUGCAAGCCACUAGACCCAAGGCAAGCUAGAGCAGCCGUGCUGCUGGUGCAUCAUUGUCAUCGUUGCAGGGUCGAAUUGAGUGGGGAGCACUCACAAAGUGACAUUUGCCGGGCGCAAGUCUCUGUUAUCUCCUCAGCAUGAUCAGGAUGAGCAGGGUGCUCAACUUCACAGCACCUCCUGCCAGAUCCCUGCCGGCUGCUGUCCAGACAGGAUAUAUUCCUCCCUGGCAUGUUUUCAGACUCCAAAAAAACAAAAUAACAGUUAUGGUAAUUGGGAGAGAACAGGGAUCCCAGUGGUGACCGAUGAAUGAAUGGGCAUUUGGAAAGCGUCCUCUUAAAAUUGCUACCGACAAGAACGUCACUGACUAGUGCGGCCUGUUUGAGACACCCAUGCUAUUGUGUGUUGCCAUUAGACCUACUUCUUCUCAGGUUUAAAACCAAGGCAAGACACCCCGCUUGUCAGCACUGUAUCUCAGACCCUCGUGGGGAAAAUAUCUGGUAUUCCUUAGCUUGGUGCUGAGGUUUCCUUCUGGCUACAAGGUGCAGAGGCACUACCUGGGCUGACCCCAACUUCCUCUUUGUUGAACAGAUGCUCAGGGAGAGGGUUGCUUCUGGGACAGGAGGAAGUGGGAAUGCCUGGGGAGAGCAGAGCUCCCUUUGUAGUCUUGGAUGGCCAGACAGAUUGAUUCCCAUGGUGGAGAUAGAUAACUACCUUGCGUAUGUUAAUUUUACCUUUUGAUUUGUGUCCAAGCUCAACGCACCGUUCUGCAUUUUGCUGCUCCUCGGUCGUCAUCUGUCUGGUUCAAGAAUGGAUCUUCUUUUUCCAAUGUCUGUCAGCAUCUGUACUAUAUGCCCCCGUCUUUGCCCUUGGAGCAGAAUGCAUCUCCCUAAGGUAGUUCCAGUGAUAUCCAGAGCCUUGUUUUACUGGAAGAGAGAAGUUGCCCUUGGGUUUGUGAUGAGAAUUGACUGUCAUGUACAUCAAGCCUAAAAUACCUGAUAUUAUUUGAUAGGAAUUGAGGGAUAUUGCCAUUGCCAUACUGGAUAGGAAUAGGCGUCCUUUUACAACAGUGUUUUUGUCUGGGAUGACACAAAAAAACCUUUCAGUGUCAAAGAAAUCAAGGCAUAGUUUUCAUCACCCAGGGAGGCAGCUGUAGCUGUGCCGUGAAAAUAGGGCUCCAUGGCUGGCCUUACUUUUUGACUCCACUGUAAAUCAGAAGAGAAGAGCAGUAUUUGACUUCCUUGUAGGCCGUUCUGUGUUGACUAUAUGUAAUGACACAGUUUCUCGUUUGCCUUCGAAAAAUCCUUUGGAUGCUGAGAAAUAAACCCUUGGUCCACGA
Molecule: long non-coding RNA, 6788 nt
Organism: Alligator mississippiensis (American alligator)
Lineage: Eukaryota; Metazoa; Chordata; Crocodylia; Alligatoridae
Exons: 2
Source: RefSeq, a predicted model, not a curated record